Molecule: ribosomal RNA, 492 nt
Filed under: uncultured bacterium
Lineage: Bacteria
Description: partial 16S ribosomal RNA
Rfam family: Bacterial small subunit ribosomal RNA
Source: RNAcentral
AGUGAACGCUGGCGGUAGGCCUAACACAUGCAAGUCGAACGGCAGCACAGUAAGAGCUUGCUCUUACGGGUGGCGAGUGGCGGACGGGUGAGGAAUACAUCGGAAUCUACUUUUUCGUGGGGGAUAACGUAGGGAAACUUACGCUAAUACCGCAUACGACCUACGGGUGAAAGCAGGGGAUCUUCGGACCUUGCGCGAUUGAAUGAGCCGAUGUCGGAUUAGCUAGUUGGCGGGGUAAAGGCCCACCAAGGCGACGAUCCGUAGCUGGUCUGAGAGGAUGAUCAGCCACGCUGGAACUGAGACACGGUCCAGACGCCUACGGGAGGGAGCAGUGGGGAAUAUUGGACAAUGGGCGCAAGCCUGAUCCAGCCAUACCGCGUGGGUGAAGAAGGCCUUCGGGUUGUAAAGCCCUUUUGUUGGGAAAGAAAAGCAGCAGGUUAAUACCCCGCUGUUCUGACGGUACCCAAAGAAUAAGCACCGGCUAACUUCGUG